Long non-coding RNA from Centruroides sculpturatus (bark scorpion), 278 nucleotides. RefSeq lists it as uncharacterized. The record is from RefSeq and is a predicted model, not a curated record. The transcript is spliced from 2 exons. Lineage: Eukaryota; Metazoa; Arthropoda; Arachnida; Scorpiones; Buthidae.
AUAUUGCAGUUAAUAUUUUUAUCAGCAGAAAACCCUUAAAUUGUAAAUUAUAGGAGAAUACUCUACUCUAAAUUAUGCUCGUUUUGGAGAGAAUAAAACAUUCUCACAGCUUGCAUAUAGAAAAGUAAAGUACACUAAACUUCUAUUUUUCAGGACUUCCCGAACGGAUUAGAAGAAUUACUUGGAAUUGUAUAGAGGAUAAUUUGCCAUCCGACGAAAGAAAUACAUAUAAAGGUAUGGCCCAAUGUUUUAAUGAAGAUAGUUUUGUUGACGUCAUG